Molecule: ribosomal RNA, 301 nt
Filed under: uncultured bacterium
Lineage: Bacteria
Description: partial 16S ribosomal RNA
Rfam family: Bacterial small subunit ribosomal RNA
Source: RNAcentral
CAGUAACCGCGGUAAUACGAAGGGUGCAAGCGUUAAUCGGAAUUACUGGGCGUAAAGCGUGCGUAGGCGGUGAGUUAAGUCUGCUGUGAAAUCCCCGGGCUCAACCUGGGAAUGGCAGUGGAUACUGGCUCGCUAGAGUGUGUCAGAGGAUGGUGGAAUUCCCGGUGUAGCGGUGAAAUGCGUAGAGAUCGGGAGGAACAUCAGUGGCGAAGGCGGCCAUCUGGGACAACACUGACGCUGAGGCACGAAAGCGUGGGGAGCAAACAGGAUUAGAUACCCGAGUAGUCCCUGUCUCUUAUAC